AAAAGGUCAAAAGAGAGGAGAGAUCUGGAGCGUUGACGUGGACGGUUCAGAUUGAGCCGUUGUGUUAUUAGAUUCGUUUCCUAUGGACACGUAUUUAGAAGAAAAUAGUGGGUGGGAGGUGUAUCAUGAAAUUUUGGCAUGAGAUCCCAUAUUCUCUCUUCUCUUCUAAAGUUGUAUAGAAUUUUCUCUCUUUUUUCUUUUUUAUUUCUUUACUAUCUUCUGCAUUUCAGAAUCUUCUUUUUUUUUCUUCUUUCGAUUGAUACUAUGUCCAGAUUCUCUUUUCUUUCUCUUUUCUCUAAAUUCGAGCACGAUCGGAAUAUUGAUAUCGUUCACAAGUCUCAGAUUCGAGUGCCAAUAAUAAGAGUUGUGAAUUGCUUUGAUUGGUGAAGGUAAGAAUCUAUCUUUGCAAAAACGAUUUUACUAACCCUAUCCGUCGUUAACUGUUCACAUGACUACAUCAAAAAAGUUUCAAACCCAAACCAGAAUCAACAUUUAUACCAUGAUUAAAGUUCUACCCUUCAAAUUUGUGGUUAUAGGUAUUUUCAAUCUUUAAUGAUUUUAGGGUUAACAAAUGUCCUUCCUUUUAUUUACAAAAUAGGUUAACUUUUUCUUUCUUCCAUAAUUUUUUAAUAUUUUUUUCAAACUUUAUUUGAUUUUUUAAGUUUGUGUCAAAUAUAAAAGAUCAUGCAUGAAAAAAAUUGGGAUAAAUGUAAAUGUACAAAAAUAGUCAAAUCUAAUUGAUCGUGUUCCAAUUAUAGUAUCAAAUUUAAACGAAAAAAAUGUAUAAAAAUUGUUAAUUACGCACUUUUCAAUAUUUAAUUUGUUUAACUUUUCAUGUGUGAUAUUCUAAUCAUAUUUGAUGCUAUUUGUAGGUUUAGCGUCCUAAGCUUUAAAGCAUUAAAUUUUAAGUUUUUUUAUGUAAUGUUUUAAAUUAUUUAAUUAAUUUCUUGUAUCAAAUAUAUUUAAUUUAUCAUUUUAUCAUUUCAAUCGGUUUACUAUAAAUGUUAUUACAUCGAAUAAACCAAUGAAUAAAUAAUAAUAAUAAUAAUAAUAAAAUAAAAAAAUAAAAAAAAUAAAAAACCUUUUGGGACGCAGAGUCAUAGAAGACUUAUAUUUUGUGUUGAAUGAGCUAAUUCUAAUUAAGAUUGGCUCGUGAGAAGAAGAUCAAGCUAGACUUGAAGGAGGUAGCUCAAAUAAAUCAUGACGCAGUGACAAUAAUGUCAAAGGCUCCUCCGUCAAGAUUUUUGUGAUCUCGUGAGGAUGAAGAAGGCUUCUCGUACUCAAGAGGCAUCAAAAUCCAAAUGUGCACCAGUUACAAUCAAAUCCAAUUUCUAGUACUGCAUCAUCAUCCAAGAUUGUGGAGCCUUCAAUGUCUCUUUGUGAGGAAAUAACUAAUGCGUCCAUUCAAGAGAACGAUGCAUCUGAACCUAUUUGUAAUCCAAGUACAAGUAUGGAUUUCACUGUCAAGAUCAGAAAAGUUGGUCGUAUAAGAUCGUAUACAUCCUUGUUGGUUGUUGGAGCAAGGGUGAGGUUGGCAUCUAUAACACACUGUUGGAUAAAUGUGUUGUUGAUAACUUUGCAUUGUGCUGUUAGGUGUGUUUUACCUUUGUAAAGUUUUAUUUAGAGUGUAAUUGUUAUAAUGGAAGUGACAUAUUAUUUGUUUGAUUGGGUUCUUUCUUUUGUUUUUUUUUUUUAAUUUUUAUUAUUAUGGCUUGAAAAUACUCGAGGCCUGUUUUGAUAAUGAAAGUGGCUCUUAUGAUGUUGAGUUUUGACUAUUUA
Cucumis sativus (cucumber) is the source of this 1779-nucleotide long non-coding RNA. RefSeq lists it as uncharacterized. Lineage: Eukaryota; Viridiplantae; Streptophyta; Magnoliopsida; Cucurbitales; Cucurbitaceae. The record is from RefSeq and is a predicted model, not a curated record. The transcript is spliced from 2 exons.